RNAcentral lists this unclassified non-coding RNA (202 nucleotides) under Hevea brasiliensis (rubber tree). Lineage: Eukaryota; Viridiplantae; Streptophyta; Magnoliopsida; Malpighiales; Euphorbiaceae. The record is from RNAcentral.
GUAUAAACAAUCAGGAAAACCAAUAAAAAAUCUAUUAAAUCAAAUAAAACCCAGAAAAAAAAAACACUCAUAAAGAACCGGCAACCAAGCACAAAUAGAUAGCAAAGCAAACAAACAAACAACCCAGUUUCAAACUUCAACAACUGAACUACUAAACAAUCUGAAUAACAUAUUUCAUACCUUUGGGGAGAUACAAGUUGCG